Molecule: ribosomal RNA, 301 nt
Filed under: uncultured bacterium
Lineage: Bacteria
Description: partial 16S ribosomal RNA
Rfam family: Bacterial small subunit ribosomal RNA
Source: RNAcentral
CAGCAGCCGCGGUAUACGAAGGGUGCAAGCGUUAAUCGGAAUUACUGGGCGUAAAGCGUGCGUAGGCGGUUUGUUAAGUCUGUUGUGAAAUCCCCGGGCUCAACCUGGGAAUGGCAAUGGAUACUGGCAAGCUAGAGUGUGUCAGAGGAUGGUGGAAUUCCCGGUGUAGCGGUGAAAUGCGUAGAGAUCGGAAGGAACAUCUGUGGCGAAGGCGACUAUCUGGGCCAACACUGACACUGAGGCACGAAAGCUUGGGGAGCAAACAGGAUUAGAUACCCCGGUAGUCCCUGUCUCUUAUACC